RNAcentral lists this ribosomal RNA (468 nucleotides) under uncultured bacterium. RNAcentral describes it as "partial 16S ribosomal RNA". It matches the Rfam family "Bacterial small subunit ribosomal RNA", at positions 28 to 507 of the family's 1533-position model. The record is from RNAcentral.
GACGAACGCUGGCGGCGUGCUUAACACAUGCAAGUCGAACGGAAAGGCCCUGCUUUUGUGGGGGGCUCGAGUGGCGAACGGGUGAGUAACACGUGAGUAACCUGCCCUUGACUUUGGGAUAACUUCAGGAAACUGGGGCUAAUACCGGAUAGGAGCUCCUGCUGCAUGGUGGGGGGUGGAAAGUUUCGGCGGUUGGGGAUGGACUCGCGGCUUAUCAGCUUGUUGGUGGGGUAGUGGCUUACCAAGGCGUUGACGGGUAGCCGGCCUGAGAGGGUGACCGGCCACAUUGGGACUGAGAUACGGCCCAGACUCCUGCGGGGUGCAGCAGUGGGGAAUAUUGCACAAUGGGCGGAAUCCUGAUGCAGCAACGCCGCGUGCGGGAUGACGGCCUUCGGGUUGUAAACCGCUUUCUCCUGUGACGAAGCGUGAGUGACGGUAAUGGGUAGAGGAGCACCGGCUAGCUACGUG